This 484-nucleotide ribosomal RNA is filed under the name uncultured bacterium. Its description in RNAcentral is "partial 16S ribosomal RNA". It matches the Rfam family "Bacterial small subunit ribosomal RNA", at positions 30 to 507 of the family's 1533-position model. The record is from RNAcentral.
AUUGAACGCUGGCGGCAGGCCUAACACAUGCAAGUCGAGCGGAUGAAGGGAGCUUGCUCCUGGAUUCAGCGGCGGACGGGUGAGUAAUGCCUAGGAAUCUGCCUGGUAGUGGGGGAUAACGUCCGGAAACGGGCGCUAAUACCGUAUACGUCCUGAGGGAGAAAGUGGGGGAUCUUCGGACCUCACGCUAUCAGAUGAGCCUAGGUCGGAUUAGCUAGUUGGUGGGGUAAAGGCCUACCAAGGCGACGAUCCGUAACUGGUCUGAGAGGAUGAUCAGUCACACUGGAACUGAGACACGGUCCAGACUCCUACGGGAGGCAGCAGUGGGGAAUAUUGGACAAUGGGCGAAAGCCUGAUCCAGCCAUGCCGCGUGUGUGAAGAAGGUCUUCGGAUUGUAAAGCACUUUAAGUUGGGAGGAAGGGCAGUAAGUUAAUACCUUGCUGUUUUGAUGUUACCAACAGAAUAAGCACCGGCUAACUUCGUG